RNAcentral lists this ribosomal RNA (1329 nucleotides) under Canalisporium elegans. Its description in RNAcentral is "SSU rRNA". It matches the Rfam family "Eukaryotic small subunit ribosomal RNA", at positions 83 to 1444 of the family's 1831-position model. The record is from RNAcentral. Lineage: Eukaryota; Fungi; Ascomycota; Sordariomycetes.
GAAACUGCGAAUGGCUCAUUAUAUAAGUUAUCGUUUAUUUGAUAGUGCCUAUCCUACAUGGAUAACAGUGGUAAUUCUAGAGCUAAUACAUGCUAAAUGCUCCGACUUCGGAAGGAGCGUAUUUAUCAGAUUAAAAACCAGCGCCCUUUGGGCUCCUUGGUGGCUCAUGAUAACUCCACAGAUCGCAUGGCCUAGUGCCGGCGAUGGCUCAUUCAAAUUUCUUCCCUAUCAACUUUCGACGGUAGGGUCUUGGCCUACCGUGGUUGUAACGGGUGACGGAGGGUUAGGGCUCGACCCCGGAGAGGGAGCCUGAGAAACGGCUACCACAUCCAAGGAAGGCAGCAGGCGCGCAAAUUAUCCAAUCCCGACACGGGGAGAUAGUGACAAUAAAUAUCGAUACGGGGCUCUUUUGGGCCCCGUAAUUGGAAUGAGUACAAUUUAAACCUCUUAACGAGGAACAAUUGGAGGGCAAGUCUGGUGCCAGCAGCCGCGGUAAUUCCAGCUCCAAUAGCGUAUAUUAGAAGUUGUUGUGGUUAAAAAGCUCGAUAGUCGAACCUCGGGCUCGGCCGGCCGGUCCGCCUCACCGCGUGCACUGGCCCGGCCGGGCCCUUCCCUCUGCGGAACCGCAUGCCCUUCACUGGGCGUGUCGGGGAGGCAGGACUUUUACUUUGAAAAAAUUAGAGUGCUCAAGGCAGGCCAAUGCUCGGAUACAUUAGCAUGGAAUAAUGAAAUAGGACGUUCGGUUCUAUUUUGUUGGUUUCUAGGACCGCCGUAAUGAUCAAUAGGGACGGUCGGGGGCAUCAGUAUUCAGCCGCGAGAGGUGAAAUUCUUAGACCGGCUGAAGACUAACUACUGCGAAAGCAUUUGCCAAGGACGUUUUCGCUGAUCAGGAACGAAAGUUAGGGGAUCGAAGACGAUCAGAUACCGUCGUAGUCUUAACCAUAAACGGUGCCGACUGGGGAUCGGGCGCUGUUCCUUUUAGACGCGCUCGGCACCCUUCGAGAAAUCAAAGUGCGUGGGCUCCAGGGGGAGUAUGGCGGCAACGCUGAAACUUAAAGAAAUUGACGGAAGGGCACCACCAGGGGUGGAACCUGCGGCUUAAUUUGACUCAACACGGGGAAACUCACCAGGUCCAGACACAGUGAGGAUUGACAGUUUGAGAGCGCUUUCUUGAUUCUGUGGGUGGUGGUGCAUGGCCGUUCUUAGUUGGUGGGGUGACUUGUCUGCCUAAUCGCGAUUACGAACGAGACCUUCACUGCUAAAUAGCACCCACCGCCCCGGCGGUGCGGCGGCUUCUUAGUGGGACUAUCGGCUCAAGCCGAUGGAAGU